RNAcentral lists this ribosomal RNA (508 nucleotides) under uncultured bacterium. RNAcentral's name for it is "partial 16S ribosomal RNA". It matches the Rfam family "Bacterial small subunit ribosomal RNA", at positions 30 to 523 of the family's 1533-position model. The record is from RNAcentral.
AUUGAACGCUGGCGGCAUGCCUUACACAUGCAGGUCGAACGGCAGCGGGGGAGAAGCUUGCUUUUCCUGCCGGCGAGUGGCGAACGGGUGAGUAAUACAUCGGAACGUGCCCUGUAGUGGGGGAUAACUAGUCGAAAGAUUAGCUAAUACCGCAUACGACCUGAGGGUGAAAGUGGGGGACCGCAAGGCCUCAUGCUAUAGGAGCGGCCGAUGUCUGAUUAGCUAGUUGGUGGGGUAAAGGCCUACCAAGGCGACGAUCAGUAGCUGGUCUGAGAGGACGAUCAGCCACACUGGGACUGAGACACGGCCCAGACUCCUACGGGAGGCAGCAGUGGGGAAUUUUGGACAAUGGGCGAAGGCCUGAUCCAGCAAUGCCGCGUGUGUGAAGAAGGCCUUCGGGUUGUAAAGCACUUUUGUCCGGAAAGAAAUGGCUCUGGUUAAUACCUGGGGUCGAUGACGGUACCGGAAGAAUAAGGACCGGCUAACUACGUGCCAGCCGCCGCAGUAA